GUACUGAUGAAGAGUCCCAAACCUGGGACGAAACGGCUGUCCAGUAC
RNAcentral lists this non-coding RNA (47 nucleotides) under Trichobilharzia regenti. The record is from RNAcentral. Lineage: Eukaryota; Metazoa; Platyhelminthes; Trematoda; Strigeidida; Schistosomatidae.